Non-coding RNA from Lolium perenne, 2337 nucleotides. The record is from RefSeq and is a predicted model, not a curated record. Lineage: Eukaryota; Viridiplantae; Streptophyta; Magnoliopsida; Poales; Poaceae.
GAUGCAAUUCUCCAUCGUUCCCAGGAUCACGACCCAUCGUCCCAACUCCCAAGCCACGCCUCUCUGUCCCAUCCUACGGAGUACAGACUACAGACCGACCGCAUCUCUCUCCUCCCCCGUUCCAUCUAGAGCAGCGCGCUGCCGGCCUGCCGUCUCCUUCCCUGUCUCGGCCAGCACCGCACGCUGCCCUCCUCCUCCUUGCAGGCCACCAUCGGACGCUUCCGCCUUCCCCGUCACAGGCAGCGUCGGGCGCACCGUCUCCUCACCGUCGCGGCCAGCAUCGAGCGCCGCCGCCUCCUCCCAUCACGGCCAGCAUCUGGUGUCUCUGCAUCUUCCCCAUCACGGCCAGCUUCCGGCGCCGCCGCCCCUCCCUGUCCCGCUUUGUAAUCGGCGAUCCCUGCUCUACCCGUUGGUCCCACAGGAAAUUAAUCAGUCCUCCUAUCGAUGGAGGUCCUCGUAGCCGUGUUCAAGCACCAGCAGUCCGGCGAGACCUAAUUAAUCAAUCCUCCCUCGAUGGGGAAUCGUGCACAGAAGAACGGAGUUCGGUACCAACUCGUUCCGUUUCCCCCUGGGCGGGAGGAAGGGUUGGAGGUUGAGGAGAGGCGGUCGGUUGCGGAAGAAUCCAGGAUAGACAAGGGGAGGAAGGAAACAGGACGGACAAAACGUUAUUUUUUACUUGGCGGUGGCAGACCAUGUAAUUUGGACGAAAAAUCAGGGGCUCAAAUGAUUCCUGGAGCUUUUGAUGGUACUGGUACAACUAUGCAUCAUAGGGUGCAGCUUUAUUCAGGUCCGAUGUCAACAUUUUAAAUGUUGAUGUUUUGUCGGAUGGCAAAAUUUGAGCAUGUACUUUUUGUGUGAAUAAUUUGAGGAGGUACUGAUUGUGGAAGAUGAAAAUGGCAAUAUUUGUCGGAUAGGAAUAUGACACAAUGGAAGAUAAUGAUGUCCUUGUCAAGUAUAUAAGAUCAUGGGGGAAACACUUACCUGUUUGUGUCAUCUAGAUCAUGAGGAUACAUCACAACAUUUAUGUAUUUCACGAUUUCAAGGUCAUUUUGUUGUAUAUGCAGAAAUAAUGCACCAAAUAUUAUACACUAUAUGACGACUAUUGUUACCAGUGGAAUUUUUGUAGCAGUGUUGUGGGCUCGCAGCAAUUAUGUGACUGUUGUGGUUAUGAAUUUAGCUGCUACUCUCGAGCUAAGGGUAGAAAAUAAGAAAGAUUCCACGUGGCCUCUCUGGUUUCAGCGGUGUUAGGAGAGCAUUCAGUUGUGAAAACCGAUUCUCCUGGUUCUAGAUGGCAUUCAUGCUUAACAGGGAGUCUCCUCCUACCUCCCCUGCUGCCCUGAGAUGUUUGUCUCCACGGUGCCGGGUAGUGCUGCGGCGGCGAUUGGCUAGAGUGCGGGUGUUGUCGCCUAGAAGUAUUCCGACGGUGAUCGGCGUGUGGGAGUGUCUCCGGCGGCGAUUGGCGGGCGGGCACGCUAUCACGCUGGAGUGCUUCGGCGGCGAUCGUGGGCUGGCAAGCGGGAGUGUUGCGGCGGUGAUCGUGGUUGCUGGCGAGCGGGAGUGUUGCGGCGGCAAUUGUUGUUGGCGAGCGGGAGCGGGAGGACUGCGGUGGCGAUCGUGGCUUGAUACGUCCAAUUUGCAUCACUAUUUUAUAUCAUAAUUUGUUGUUAUUCAUUGAUAUAUUUCAUAUUUGGAGAUGAUACUUAUGUUAUUUCAUCUAUUUUGCAUGAUUCAUGAUUAUUGGAUGAUCGCGCACCGGAGUCAGGAUUCUGCUGGAAAAAGCACCAUCAAAAUGCAAUAUUUCGGAAGAUCAACAAUUGACGAAAGUUAUAUGAAAAAUCCUAUUUUUCCAGAAGAUGAUGAGAGCCAGAAGGAGGAGCCGAGGAGGGCCACCAUGGGCCCCCCUCACAGGCCGGCGCGGGCCCUUGCCCUGGCCGCACCGCCUUGUGGGGAGGGGGCCCACAGCCCCCUCUGGCCUCCUCUCCUUCGCGUAUUUCUUCGUCCCGAAAACCUAAGCUCCAGGAAGUAAGUCGCGAAGAGUCACAGCUGCCUCUGCGGGGCGGAGAACACCAGAGAGAAAAGAGCUCUCCGGCAGGCUGAGAUCUGCCGGGGAAAUUCCCUCCCGGAGGGGGAAAUCGACGCCAUCGUCACCGCCAUCGAGCUGGACAUCAUCUCCAUCACCAUCAUCACCAUCUCCAUCAUCAUCACCGCCGUCUCCACCGCUGCACAUCGUCACCGCUGUAUCAAUUUGGGUUUGAUCUUGAUUGUUUGAUAGGGGAAACUCUCCCGGUGUUGAUUUCUACUUGUUAUUGAUGCUAUUGAGUGAAACCGUUGGACCAA